This 1034-nucleotide long non-coding RNA is filed under the name Struthio camelus australis. RNAcentral describes it as "lncRNA (ENSSCUG00000002111.1)". Lineage: Eukaryota; Metazoa; Chordata; Aves; Struthioniformes; Struthionidae. The record is from RNAcentral.
UUACUUUAUAAAUCAUAUAUUUGGGUAAGAAACAAUUUAGUUUGUAGCAUUUAUAUUGGCCAAAAAGAUUGAACUGCAUGGACCAGGUGGAAAAGGACUGCCUAGAAUAGCUUGGAAAUUAAGCGUACUACAGGUCACAGUACCAUUUGUUCUUACGCUUUAGGCAAGGAUUUUCUUUUGUGAAAUUAUUAAGUCUAAAGCAAUCUGGAUCAGUUCCCUAAGCAUCUUAAUCUGCUAGAUUUCAAGGAUGAGAUGAACACACUUUAAAACGUAUUCCAGUUGACCAAAAGGGGAAGACAGGCGGAAAUCAAAGCAUUUUCUUUUCUUUUCAUGCAACACGAGACCAUACCUGGAAAAAUAAGCCGUGCCACAAUUUGACUUCAAGUUAGUUUAAGCUCAUCAUCAGAAAGUUUCAGACGUUAGAGCUGGUUAGCUCAGCCGGCCGGUGCCUGCGGAGCACCCGGCUCUCAGGAGGCCUCUAGCGCUACUUACUCAGCCUCACGUUCAACCUCACACGGGCUGCAGUCCCGAGGCCGCUCCGCUUCCUGCUUUGAGCUUGAAGAUCUGCUCAGGAAGAUUUUCUUGUAAGGUUUGGAAAGUCUUAUCUCGCUUUGUGAUCAAGGCAGCCCCGAUGGCGUCGUUCAAGACCGUUACACUGAGAAAAACACUGAUGAAGCUCGUGGAGACUUUGGUCACCUCCAUCUUGCUUGGGAAAAUCGCCAUUUUGUGCCGAUUCCCCACGUUCGCUCACCUUUAUAGUGCCCUUGUUUGUUAGGCCUAUGUGGCAAAGAGAGAAGAGGUGACCUUAGACGGCUGAACGUUUAAUAGCUUCCUUGCAGGAGAUAACCCGUCGUGGGUUUGAAAUCUAUUUGUUUGCCCCUGUUGGGAAGGAACUUUGUAAGAAAAAUUUGAAUAUGCAUGAUGACCAGCUGUGUAUAAACUGGAGGCUGUAUCGGGAUGAGGGGUCUCUCCUGCGGGAGAGACCAUUUUGCCCAGCAAAAUAAACUCUCCGUAAUCCUUGUGCUUGUUCUGCA